RNAcentral lists this ribosomal RNA (497 nucleotides) under uncultured bacterium. Its description in RNAcentral is "partial 16S ribosomal RNA". It matches the Rfam family "Bacterial small subunit ribosomal RNA", at positions 28 to 507 of the family's 1533-position model. The record is from RNAcentral.
GAUGAACGCUGGCGGCGUGCCUAAUACAUGCAAGUCGAGCGAACGGACGAGAAGCUUGCUUCUCUGAUGUUAGCGGCGGACGGGUGAGUAACACGUGGAUAACCUACCUAUAAGACUGGGAUAACUUCGGGAAACCGGAGCUAAUACCGGAUAAUAUUUUGAACCGCAUGGUUCAAAAGUGAAAGACGGUCUUGUUGUCACUUAUAGAUGGAUCCGCGCUGCAUUAGCUAGUUGGUAAGGUAACGGCUUACCAAGGCAACGAUGCAUAGCCGACCUGAGAGGGUGAUCGGCCACACUGGAACUGAGACACGGUCCAGACUCCUACGGGAGGCAGCAGUAUGGAAUCUUCCGCAAUGGGCGAAAGCCUGACGGAGCAACGCCGCGUGAGUGAUGAAGGUCUUCGGAUCGUAAAACUCUGUUAUUAGGGAAGAACAUAUGUGUAAGUAACUGUGCACAUCUUGACGGUACCUAAUCAGAAAGCCACGGCUAACUACGUG